This is an RNA transcript of Danaus plexippus (monarch butterfly), 2170 nucleotides long. It is a transcript of the gene named cilia- and flagella-associated protein 276, with no coding region annotated. The transcript is spliced from 8 exons. Lineage: Eukaryota; Metazoa; Arthropoda; Insecta; Lepidoptera; Nymphalidae. The record is from RefSeq and is a predicted model, not a curated record.
AUGGUUACUUCAUUUUUUAUGACAGAAUUGGCAGUCACAAUUUAAAAUUAUUCUUAAAUUUUAUCUAAAUCAAUCGCGUUAUCCUACGUAAACCAAAUUCAAAUGGCAGAAAUAAAACAAGUGAGAAAUAAGAAAUUGUUGCCGGACUUAAGGAAAGAAGGAGAAUUAAAAAAAAACAUAGUUCUUUCUACUACUGAAAAACAUGGUGUUCCUACAGGCUCGAGAUUAUUUUCUCAUCACACAUUAGCAAGUGUUCGGAAAUUGAGUUUUUAUCACCCAUUUUUUUUGCCUGAUGACAACUUGGAUGUAAUCUUGACAUCCACCUACAACCAUUCAACGGAGCGCUUUGCAGACAAAGAGGACUUAUAUUUGCAACCGGAAACAAUUGGUUGCCAAACAUGGCGACGGUUAAGAAACACCAAUGAUAAACUGCCUUCGACUCUCAUACCAAUGGGCCAUCCGAUGAAACGCGGAGGGAUAACGGAACGCAAGUCGCCGUUUAGCGUUAAGUUAAUGAAUUCAGGCGUGCACUCCUCUCAAACCAACCCUGGAUACAGUAGGCAGCCAGCUGGCGGCGCCAUAUUCUUCUAUUGAUAUUAAGAAUCGUUAAAAUAUAAUUUUAUCAAGAUUUGUUUUUCUAACAAUGUUAUAUCAUUGUCUUACUGUUCCAUUUAGGAAGACACACAAUGAAUGUUCCAAAUGCGAUUAAGAUUUAAAAUAAUUCACAUUAAACCAAGGUUUAUGAAACUGCCAAGAAAUAAAUGAUUUUGACACCUCAAAAACAAUUUACGUAGAUUUUGAAUAUAAAAUAAUCAAGUAAUAAAAUUAUUUUGGUAAACUGUUAUUAAAAUUUACAUGGAUUUAUUAGAUACCCAUGAAAAGGACUCAAUAAGCAAAAAGUGUAACCGAGUACGUUCAUGGUAUUUAUACGAACAGUAUAAGUCAUUAGAAAGGAAUCAGAUAGAUGCUGCAUGUUUGUUAAAAAGCAAAUCCUAUCAAAAUAAUUUACUGCGCCAAGAACUAAAGGAAAGACGUGCACGCAGGAGAUUGUGCGACAGCAACGAACUAUGUCGGAGCGAAUUUAGAACAAACAAAGAUAAUAUACUCAGAAAUGACAGUGUGAGCGAUGACAAUCUGUUCGAUAGUGUCUGUGAACUUCACGAGGAUGUCGAACUAAAAGACAUCUGUAGCUGCGACGGUUCGAAAACGAGCAAAUAUGAUGAAAAUAUAAAUAAAGAAGACUUAAGUUGCUCCGACAGCGUAUUGAGUGUGGUGGAUAAUGUUACAUCUAAUUACCCUCAAGAUGUUAAAAAGGAAUUAGAAAUUGUUAAAAAGAACAUCGCUCAAAAUAUUAACCUGCAACUGGAAACUGUGAAAGAAAAUGUAGAGUGUUUGGAAAAAUUUACGAAGCUUAAUGACGAAGAUCUAUUGUCUCGAGGAAAUAGUGAAGUUGCGGAUAUCAAAGACGUCAAUAAAAAUGUAAAAGAGAAAUCAAAAAAUAGCAUAGAAUCUUUAUUGUCGAUUUGGUCCAAAUUGGUACUGUUUGCUUACAACACGUCGCAAUUAAAUCACGGAAACUGCUACUGCCAUUUCAGCUUUCAAUUAGUGACAGCUGUUCUUGCGUGCGAUUUUCUUCGUAGAAGCGUUGACAAAAUGUUCUUACGUCUCUCCGAUAAAGUUCGCUAGCAGUGACUGCAACACUCUCCAUCUGACCACACCGACGAAAGCCUUAAACUGCUAUGAACACAAAAAAAAUAAACGAAAGCCUCUCAAGACUCCUAAGAACUGUAAGUAUUGCUACGAUGGUCCAUGGUUGAAAAGGAAUUAUAACAAAAAAUACAAUUCAGAAUAUAAAAGUCAUUCGAAGUAUGCAUUCAGUAACACAAUUAAUGAACGCAAAUGUCGUGGAGCUAGUGAGCCGUGGCAGAGUUUUGACAUACACGAAACAAAAAUUGGCGGCAGUUGUAGAUUGAACACAGAUUCCGAUAAGAGAUUUUGUUAUUGUCAUGACUUGGAAAUUAUCGUUGAUCGUAUACAACAGGUCGCAAGAGACAUGGAAAUUUUAUUGGAAGAUGUGGACGAUACAUCCUCGAAAUAUUACUUUUGAUAUUAUUUAUUUCUUUAAUUUUUUUAUAUAUAUUUUUAAUAAAGUUUACUAUUAAUAGAUUAA